This 139-nucleotide ribosomal RNA is filed under the name uncultured bacterium. RNAcentral describes it as "partial 16S rRNA". It matches the Rfam family "Bacterial small subunit ribosomal RNA", at positions 355 to 511 of the family's 1533-position model. The record is from RNAcentral.
UAGGGAAUCUUCCACAAUGGACGCAAGUCUGAUGGAGCAACGCCGCGUGAGUGAUGAAGGUUUUCGGAUCGUAAAGCUCUGUCUUUGGGGAAGAUAAUGACGGUACCCAAGGAGGAAGCCACGGCUAACUACGUGCCAG